GUAGCACGCCAAUUUUGAUCUAGGUUUGUUUUAGUUUCGUAUUUUGUUUCUUGGGAUUGACGAUUUGGAUUCUACAAUUAUAAUUUCUCUUUUGGAGUUGUUUGGCACGUCAACUAUCCCUGAUUUAAGGUUUUUGCUUUUUUCUUUUUUAAAUUUUUUACCCACACAAAAUAACACAUUGAUUUAGGGUUUGGGUUACCGAUUGCACCAAUCUACAUAAUCCACAACGAAUCGCUGCCUAAAAGCUCAUCAUGGAAGACGUAUUAACCGGGCUCCAGAUCACGGAUGAGGAAGAAGAGGCAUAGCAGCUAUAUAGGGACUCCAGCCUGCAACAACUGGACUAUGAUCUAUGUCUGGUCGAAUUCUUUCUCACGGCUAGUGUGGUUCACUUUCUGGCAAUACAAAACAUGCUGGCGAAUUUAUGGCACCGAAUAAGGGGUUUUCAAAUUUCAGACCGAGGUGAGAAAAGAUUCUUGUUCAGGUUUUAUCACAAGGUAGAUAUUGGCAGAGUGACUAAAGGGGUUCCAUGGACAACAACCACAUCUUAGUUUUUCAUCAUCUUGGUGCUAACAAAGAUCCAAUGCAAGUAACACUAAUCUACAAUUAUUUCUGGGUACAAGUUCAUGUUCUCUCACCAGGAUUUUUCUUCGAGAACAUUGCCAUACAAUUCGAAAAUUUAUAGGUUCAGUUGAAGAAAAUGGUACAAAAUAAAUAGGAUAUGGGUUUAGAGAUUAUUUGCAGCUCAGGGUUAGGCUAGAUGUGAGAACUCCGUUGAAACGUCGAAAGAAAAUCCAACUUUCCCCUUAGAAUCAUACAUACGUUAAGUUCCAAAAUGAGAAACUCACUUUGUUAUGUUCUUUAUAUGGCGGCUUGGGUCACGGAGAUAGUUUUUGUCCUGUCCGAUUAAGGAAAUAUUUCAAAGAAACAGAGAUAGGAUGGGAUAUCUCACUUCGAGCUUCAAGGAGAAGGGCCAUAACAACAAGGAGCGCAUUAAUAAAAGUGGAUUGUGAGCCAAGCUUUCCAAAUCGAUUUCCUAUGGAGAAUGCUUCUAGCCGGUAAUUAAGGGAAAUUAACCUAGCAAAUGAGAAAGGUCGGGAUGGGCAGAAAAUUUGAAAGGAAGUGAGACAUGUACUAAAAAAUAAGGCACAAUAUACCAAUGGCCGCCAAUGGACAGACUGACCGAACACAAUGAAUAUCAUAAGCUGAAACGUCCGUAGACUGAGGACAAUGAAUAUCAUGGUUUCUUAGUAAUCUUAUUUCAAAUUUACAAAUUGGUGAUGGUUCUGGAUUCACUUUUAUGACUGAUAAACAUAAGGACUGAUGGAGAAGAUUUCUGAGUUGUUGCCAAGGGUUGAGCACAGAGUCUGUGCAAAGCAUCUAUAUGCCAACUGGAGGAAAGAAAAUCCUGGAGGAGACCUGCAACAAGCAUUUUGGGGAGUCUGCAAAUCAUACAUAGCUACUGACUUUGAAUAUCACAUCAAAAAGAUUAACCUAUCAAACAUAGUUCCAAUGUAAGUUUACUUAGUAUUGAUCCUGAGCAAUGGUCAAAAGCCAUUUUUUCUGGUAGGUCCAUAUAAGAUGCAAUUGACAAUAAUUUUGCAGAGUCAUUUAAUGCAAUAAUUUUAGGAGCUAGAUCAAUGUCUAUAAUUUCCAUGUUAGAAGAAAUUAGAUAGUUAUAGAGAGGAUUGUAAACAAUUUGGCCAAAUGUAAAAAUUAGAAUGAUAAAUUCUAUCCUAAGAUAUGUGAGAAGUAACACAAGAAUAUCCAAAUGAGUUCAUAUUGUCAUGUUAAAUGGAAUGGAGUAGAAGGGUUUGAAGUGGCAAACUUUGGUGAUGUAGUAGUUGUUGACUUAUUUCAGUGGUCAUGUAGUUGUAGGAGAUAGGAUCUCAUUAGCAUCCCAUGUUCACAUGCUGUUGCAGCCAUCUUGUGGAAAAAAAGUUGAUAUUUCUAAUUUUGUAUAUAAGAAGUUUAAAAAAUACGUAUGGCUUUGUAUUGUCUAUUGUCCCAAGUGAAAUUUUAGUCGAAAACUGAUAUGAGACCAAGUGACCCUCUAUUCCAAGAAAAAUUCCUAGGAGACCAAAAAAGAAUAGAGCCAAAAAAGAGAGGGAGAGGGGAGUGGGAGUAAACUAUCUAGAAGAGGGAGUGCCACAAGUGUUCCAUGGUUGGACACAACUCCAGAAGCUGUCAAACUUCAUCUACUUGUACACCUCCACCAGCUCCUUUUGAUCUUGCUCCACUAGCUCUUUCUCAAACUGUUGCAUCCGAAGCUUCUACAUCAUCACCAGCUCCUUCAACACAGCUAACUCCUCCCACCAUUGCAGCAUUUUCAGCAUAGCAAAUGCUUACAAGACUUUGUAGCAAGGGAAAGCAAGCUAUGCAAGAGAUUGAGUUAUACACCAAUGAGAGGAUAGGGAUGCCAAUUUUGAAUCCUGGUAUGAGAGGGAAAACCAUGGUGACUACCCAACCAAGUACACCAAUAAAAUGAAGGGAAACAUCAACAAGGACACUAUUGGCAGGACUCAAUAAAGUAGAAACACAAAAAAGGCUAAGUCUAAAAUCCCACCCAAGCACAACUGUAAGCCAUGGAGAUAGUUGAUGUCAAUCCAUAUUUAUUUUGAUGGUUUUAAUUUGUUAACAUACGAUGGAUGGUUUUAUUUUGUUGGAUCAUUUUGAUGGAUGUAUUUUGAUGGACGGUUUAAUUUUGUUGAAUCAUUCUGAUGGUUAUAUUUUGAUGGACAA
Gossypium raimondii (Peruvian cotton) is the source of this 2739-nucleotide long non-coding RNA. RefSeq lists it as uncharacterized. The transcript is spliced from 4 exons. Lineage: Eukaryota; Viridiplantae; Streptophyta; Magnoliopsida; Malvales; Malvaceae. The record is from RefSeq and is a predicted model, not a curated record.